GUGCCUUCAGUGGCAUCAUUGCACUGUGACUGUGCAGGUCCCAAACAGUAUGGACAUGAAUGUCCUCAAGCUGCAUGUUAGCAGGGCUUCUAAUUCCAUCUGCAAGUGAUAGUGUGUGGAGCUUAGUCGCACAGAGCGCAUGUUACUGGAGGAGAUAUGGGUCUGUGUCAUCCUGCAUGGGAAUGAUCCUAAAAACAAAGUGAUCAGUGACUGCUCAGGACUGUGGAAAAGUCACCUGGAGCAGUGGGAAAAGGUCUGGCAGAGGAAUAAGAAGAUACAGGUCUUAGAACAAGCCCUGGGACUUCAACCAAGUCAUUUAACAUCUGGGGCCUUCGUUUAUUUAUCCUCCCAGCAGAUAAAGCAAUACCUGCCCUGUCUUCCUAACCUUGGAGGGGUCAAAAAAGUCAUGGGUGUGAAAGCAUUUUGUAAACUGUAGUGCAAGCAUACGGCAGGGGAGUGAACCAUACUUUCACUAGCGACUUGAAUGAGGUGAUAAAGAAAAGGCUCAGAACUUCAGAAAAUGCAAGAGGGGCUUGACCCUGGAUUGGCAGAGGAAAGCAAUGGUGGGAUCAAUACCUUGGAGGGCCAAGGACCAAGGGGUUAAGGGUCCAUGAGGACAGGCCUGGAUCAUCAGGAAGCUGAGUGUGGAUUCCAAGAAUCUCAAGGUUAGAGAAGUCGCCUAGUCCACCUCCCCUCUCUGCUUCUCACAGAAGGGUCUGCUGAACACUCUGGUGACAGAGAACUCACCCAACAUGUUCCAUGGCAGAGGCUUUUCAUUAGAUCAAGGUGACAUCUGUUUUACUGGAGCUUCCAACCACGUGUCCCAAUACUGCCCUUAGUCACAGGCAUCCAGGUCCUCUCUCUCAGGACAGCACUUUGAAUAAAUGAGGACAGCUCCCAUCCCCCUUUCUCCCAGUUGACUUUCCAGAAACAUCUCAUAUUGUUGUUGGCUUUCCACCAUUUUUCCUCUUCACUUUCUGGGCCUACUACACUGUGUGUCCUCCACUUGGUCUCUUCCUGAAAGCAACACUGUGCACAAUGUUCCUGGGGGCAGACUUAUUAAACCAAGUGGACCACUUCCUUCAUCUUAGGUGUCACAGCUCCAUCAAUGCAUCCUCAAAUCACAAUGAUUUUUCUGCACUUCACCCUACAGGUUCCGAUUUAACGUUAACAUUGGCUAGGACAUUACUCAUUUACACACAGGCUCUGCUGAGCCCCAUCUUUGCCAAGACUCUGACUUCUGUUGUUUCAUUUAAAGAUGUAAGAACAGGGCCUCACAGUCCUUCCUAAGGAAUUUUACUUUGUGGCUGGGUGCAGUGGCUCACACCUGUAAUUCCAGCACUUUGGGAGGCCAAGUCAGGUGGAUGACUUGAGGUCAGGAGUUCGAGACCAGCCUGGCCAUCAUGAUGAAACCCCACCUCUACUAAAAAUACAAAAAUUAGCCGGCUGUGGUGGCAAGCACCUAUAUCCCAGCUACUCGGCAGGUUGAGGCAGGAGAAUCGCUUGAGCCCGGGAGGCAGAGGUUGCAGUGAGCCGAGAUCACUGCACUCCAGCCUGGGCAACAGAGUGAGACUCCAUCUCAAAACAAACAAACAAACAAACAAACAAACAAAAAACAAAACAAAACAACAACAACAAAACCCAGAAAUUUUACUUUGCUACAUUCAGCCCACAAUUUUUAGCAACCCAGAUCUUUCUGGAUCCUGGCUGUAUCUUCUCAGUGUGUUUCUUCUUCCUCCCAGCUUCCUGACCCCUGCAAAUAGGGCUGUAAAGAGGCUCUCUGAUGCUGCACUCCCUCCCUCAUUGCCACCAUGCAAAUCACAGAGGACCACCAGGCCAGACUGGCUCAACUGCUUGAUGAAUGCACCAGCCCACUCUCCCAUCCCGGGAGGCCUGUCAG
RNAcentral lists this long non-coding RNA (1900 nucleotides) under Pan troglodytes (chimpanzee). Its description in RNAcentral is "long non-coding RNA NONPTRT010910". The record is from RNAcentral. Lineage: Eukaryota; Metazoa; Chordata; Mammalia; Primates; Hominidae.